Molecule: non-coding RNA, 133 nt
Organism: Tachyglossus aculeatus (Australian echidna)
Lineage: Eukaryota; Metazoa; Chordata; Mammalia; Monotremata; Tachyglossidae
Source: RefSeq, a predicted model, not a curated record
GGCUCCCGGCCUUCAGCGGCUGUGGGGGUCACAGGCUCCCCCCAGCCGGGGCGAGGGGCCGAGAGCAGCAGCUGAGGAGAAUCGUGGCAGCCGCCAGAGCUGGGGUUGCUGCAUUUUCCGGCCUCAGACAAGC